This 674-nucleotide ribosomal RNA is filed under the name uncultured metazoan. RNAcentral describes it as "SSU rRNA". It matches the Rfam family "Eukaryotic small subunit ribosomal RNA", at positions 582 to 1257 of the family's 1831-position model. The record is from RNAcentral. Lineage: Eukaryota; Metazoa.
AUUCCAGCUCCAAUAGCGUAUAUUAAAGUUGUUGUGGUUAAAAAGCUCGUAGUUGGAUCUCAACAGCCUUGAAGCGGUUAACUUUGUAGUUUUACUGCUUUGUAGGCUGUGCUUUUGCUGGAGGUUUAGGGGUGCUCUUGAUCGAGUGUCUCUGGAUGCCAGCAGGUUUACUUUGAAAAAAUUAGAGUGCUCAAAGCAGGCUAAAAUGCCUGAAUAUUCGUGCAUGGAAUAAUAGAAUAGGAUGUCGAUCCUAUUUUGUUGGUUUUCGGGACUCGACAUAAUGAUAAAUAGGGACAGUCGGGGGCAUUUGUAUUCAAACGACAGAGGUGAAAUUCUUGGACCGUUUGAAGACAAACUACUGCGAAAGCAUUUGCCAAGAAUGUUUUCAUUAAUCAAGAACGAAAGUUAGAGGUUCGAAGGCGAUCAGAUACCGCCCUAGUUCUAACCAUAAACGAUGCCAGCUAGCGAUCCGCAGCUGUUUGUUUUUUAGGCUCUGCGGGAAGCUUCCGGGAAACCAAAGCCUUUGGGUUCCGGGGGAAGUAUGGUUGCAAAGCUGAAACUUAAAGGAAUUGACGGAAGGGCACCACCAGGAGUGGAGCCUGCGGCUUAAUUUGACUCAACACGGGAAAUCUCACCAGGCCCGGACACUGGAAGGAUUGACAGAUUGAGAGCUC